UACGAAGGGGGCUAGCGUUGCCCGGAAUCACUGGGCGUAAAGCGCACGUAGGCGGAUUGUUAAGUCAGGGGUGAAAUCCUGGAGCUCAACUCCAGAACUGCCUUUGAUACUGGCGAUCUUGAGUCCGGGAGAGGUGAGUGGAACUGCGAGUGUAGAGGUGAAAUUCGUAGAUAUUCGCAAGAACACCAGUGGCGAAGGCGGCUCACUGGCCCGGUACUGACGCUGAGGUGCGAAAGCGUGGGGAGCAAACAGG
RNAcentral lists this ribosomal RNA (253 nucleotides) under uncultured bacterium. Its description in RNAcentral is "partial 16S ribosomal RNA". It matches the Rfam family "Bacterial small subunit ribosomal RNA", at positions 524 to 776 of the family's 1533-position model. The record is from RNAcentral.